RNAcentral lists this long non-coding RNA (386 nucleotides) under Homo sapiens (human). RNAcentral describes it as "non-protein coding lnc-ARSE-4:1". Lineage: Eukaryota; Metazoa; Chordata; Mammalia; Primates; Hominidae. The record is from RNAcentral.
ACAUGGAUGACAUAGUAACUAUCUACACAGGAAGGUCAUGAGCUACUGACUUCUUCAGAGGCAACAAAUGGUCAUCGAUGUCCUUCACCCCAGGAAGGCAACAGCACCUAAGACAGAUAUUCAGGAAAAACUAGCCGAAAUGGACAAGACCACAAGGAUGUCCUCUUUGUAUUCAUAUUCAGAAUUCAUUUUGGUGGUGGCAAGACAACUGGUUUUGGCACGAUUUACAAAUCUUCAGAUUAUGCAAAGAAAAAUGAACCCAAACAUAGACUUGCAAGACACAGCCCAUGUGAGAAGAGAAAGACCUCAAGGAAACAGCAAAUGGAAUGAAAGAACAAAACAAAGAAAGUCAGGAAGACUGCAAAGGCCAGUGUUGGUGCUGGCGA